UACGUAGGGACCGAGCGUUGUCCGGAUUCAUUGGGCGUAAAGAGCUCGUAGGCGGCUGCUCAAGUCGAAUGUGAAAACUCGGGGCUUAACCCCGAGCCUGCUUCUGAUACGGGCAGACUAGAGGUAUGCAGGGGAGAACGGAAUUCCUGGUGUAGCGGUGAAAUGCGCAGAUAUCAGGAGGAACACCGGUGGCGAAGGCGGUUCUCUGGGCAUUACCUGACGCUGAGGAGCGAAAGUGUGGGGAGCGAACAGG
This 253-nucleotide ribosomal RNA is filed under the name uncultured bacterium. RNAcentral describes it as "partial 16S ribosomal RNA". It matches the Rfam family "Bacterial small subunit ribosomal RNA", at positions 524 to 776 of the family's 1533-position model. The record is from RNAcentral.